UUUCAGGUAAUCUUUCUUUAAUGCCUGGAUGCUAAUACAAUUGUACUUUGCUGCUGCAAUACGUUGCAAACACUUGCUUAAUGAGUUUAUCGUAUAGAUAGUUAAAUGUAUAUAUAAAUUUCAUUGAUCUUAUGCCAAAGUUUCUAAUGGAAUUCUUGUAAUACUUGGUGAUUUUAGGCAUAUGACCAAUUUAUUGAAUCCUAUCAAACUAGAAUAAUUGCAUUAGUUUACCUGACAUUUGCAAACAAUGUAAAUGAUCCCUUGUUUAAUUAUGUGCAAAAUUAUAUUGAAAAGAAUUCAGAGUUCUUGUAUGCCUAAGUAAGUAUCAUAGGAUCUUCUAUUGUGCAUAGGUGAGAAUUUAUGACUUCUAUUUAGAAUCAUACACGUUCAGUUGGAAGCCAGUUUGCUGUUCUGUCAUUUGCAUAUAUAUUAACAUGUGACAUUGAUCUUUACUUCUAAUAUUCUUUAUUUUGCAUGUAAAUUGACUAACAGCUAUGAGUAUAUUUGCAAAUUUUGGAAAUUAUUAUUGCUCAGUAAAAAAUAAAAUGCAGUCUUGCAUUUAGAUGUUUUGCUACUCUUUUAAAUUCUGUCAUUUAGCAAAUGAUUUUCUUAUAUCCACAGGUUCUUCUAUUUCUAUACAUUUUUGUGGAUUUUAUUGUUAAUAACUCUGGAAUGUGAUUUAUAUUAUCAGGCUGUCGUAUUUACUGACAU
This 711-nucleotide unclassified non-coding RNA is filed under the name Hevea brasiliensis (rubber tree). The record is from RNAcentral. Lineage: Eukaryota; Viridiplantae; Streptophyta; Magnoliopsida; Malpighiales; Euphorbiaceae.